RNAcentral lists this ribosomal RNA (501 nucleotides) under uncultured bacterium. Its description in RNAcentral is "SSU rRNA". It matches the Rfam family "Bacterial small subunit ribosomal RNA", at positions 26 to 523 of the family's 1533-position model. The record is from RNAcentral.
AGGAUAAACGCUGGCGGCGUGCCUAACACAUGCAAGUCGAACGUCCUUGCGGUCUUCUUCUUCGGAGGAGGACCGCGAGGGAGUGGCGGACGGGUGAGUAACACAUGGGUACCUGCCUUUCAGUGAGGAAUACCGGCGAGAAAUCGCCGACAAGACCGCAUAGGCUUCCUUCGGUAGCCCGAGGGAAGCAAAGUUACUUCGCGAGAGGUGACGCUGGAAGAGGGGCCUGUGGCCGAUUAGCUAGUUGGGGGGGUAACGGCCUCCCAAGGCGACGAUCGGUAGCUGGUCUGAGAGGACGAUCAGCCACACUGGGAUUGAGAACGGCCCAGACUCCUACGGGGGGCAGCAGUGAGGAAUUUUCCGCAAUGGACGAAAGUCUGACGGAGCAACGCCGCGUGCAGGAGGAAGGUUUUCGGAUCGUAAACUGCUUUUCUCGGGGACGAGCAAGGACGGUACCCGAGGAAGAAGCCCCGGCUAACUACGUGCCAGCAGCCGCGGUAA